CUAAUGAUGAGGUAAAGUCCGGGCUCCUUCGGAAAAAAUGCCGGGUAACAACCGGGCAAAACUUGGUAACUACAUAAAUUCUUGUAUAGUCCGGUUUUGACAGAUAGUGCAACAGAAAUAUUACCGCCAUGAAAAUGGUAAGGGUGAAAAGGCAGUGUAAGAGACUACCGCAUAAUUGGUAACAAUUAUGGCUUGAAAACCUCAUUUGGAGCAAGAUUAAGCAGCAGUUAGUUGUUUCCGAGCAAUACUGCGGGUAAAUCGCUAGAGGCAUUUGGCAACAAAUGUCGCGGAUAGAUGGUUAUUAGUAAAACAUUUUUGUUUUAUGAGACAGAACCCGGCUUAUUGUCCCAUUUG
RNAcentral lists this RNase P RNA (354 nucleotides) under uncultured Treponema sp. RNAcentral's name for it is "Bacterial RNase P class A". It matches the Rfam family "Bacterial RNase P class A", at positions 35 to 363 of the family's 367-position model. Rfam says of the family: Ribonuclease P (RNase P) is a ubiquitous endoribonuclease, found in archaea, bacteria and eukarya as well as chloroplasts and mitochondria. The record is from RNAcentral. Lineage: Bacteria; Pseudomonadati; Spirochaetota; Spirochaetia; Treponematales; Treponemataceae.